CAAGAAAUAGUUUAAUAAAAUAAUAGUUUUGGAGACUAUAGAUAGGUAAUUUAUCUUUUUUUGA
Molecule: transfer RNA, 64 nt
Filed under: Scolytinae sp. BMNH 1039996
Lineage: Eukaryota; Metazoa; Arthropoda; Insecta; Coleoptera; Curculionidae
Description: tRNA-Pro
Source: RNAcentral